Molecule: ribosomal RNA, 254 nt
Filed under: uncultured bacterium
Lineage: Bacteria
Description: partial 16S ribosomal RNA
Rfam family: Bacterial small subunit ribosomal RNA
Source: RNAcentral
UACGGAGGGUGCGAGCGUUGUCCGGAAUCAUUGGGCGUAAAGGGCGCGUAGGUGGCCUGUGCAAGCGUGCGGUGAAAGCUCGGGGCUCAACCCCGAGUCGGCCGUGCGAACUGCUGGGCUCGAGCACUGUAGAGGCAGGCGGAAUUCCGGGUGUAGCGGUGGAAUGCGUAGAGAUCCGGAAGAACACCGGUGGCGAAGGCGGCCUGCUGGGCAGUGGCCGACACUGAGGCGCGACAGCGUGGGGAGCAAACAGG